AUCUGUCUGGGAGCAGAGGUGUAAAAGCUGGGGAAGUCCGACUGCUUGCUAGCUGCCUGUUGGGUUCCUCCAGUUUGUUUUUAAAGGGGCAUGCACAGUGCAAUCACACACAUAUAUUUUAAAGUUCCAGAAAGCUACACGGCUGCAUGCUUGUGCUUAACUGAGUCAGGGCUUUGGAGGGGAGUUUAUCCAGUAUUAUUAGCAAACCCUUAGGGAGCUAAGAAAGUAUUAUGAUUUCUAAUCAGACCCAGAGCUGGCCAAGGGUAGGCUUUCUAAAUGGGAUAAAAAAAAUGGAAGAAGAAGAAGAAAGAAAGACCAUGAAACACCCUGGUUAGUCAGAACAGUGGCUUUUUGUGUGAGGAUUUGAGGCAGAGUGCUCUAAUUUUCAAAUCUACACAGGGAAGUUGGUUGCAGUUACUCAGAGCUGAGUCUGAAGGGCCACUCCUUUAUAAACUUUUAGAGUCACGGAGGAGGGGGAAAGGGCCCCAACAACUUUAGAACUUUUACUUUUCUGAGAUCUUGUAGCAAACAGAAUGGAAUUUGGGCCCCCAAAGGCAUUUGUACUUUUCAGCUAAGCAACCAGGGAUUCUUAAGGACAAUCAGGUAUUAAAAUGUUUCUUGUCGCCUGUUAGGCUGGGUGCAUGCCUGUGAUUCCAGAACUCCAGAGGCUGAGGCAGGAAGAUUGCUAUGAGUUUGAGACCAGCUUGGGUUAUGUUGCCUACACAUUAUGUCUCAGAAUAAAAUAAAC
This 748-nucleotide long non-coding RNA is filed under the name Mus musculus (house mouse). RNAcentral describes it as "long non-coding RNA chr1:90205497-90206245". The record is from RNAcentral. Lineage: Eukaryota; Metazoa; Chordata; Mammalia; Rodentia; Muridae.